This 465-nucleotide ribosomal RNA is filed under the name Vreelandella stevensii. RNAcentral describes it as "partial 16S ribosomal RNA". It matches the Rfam family "Bacterial small subunit ribosomal RNA", at positions 338 to 795 of the family's 1533-position model. The record is from RNAcentral. Lineage: Bacteria; Pseudomonadati; Pseudomonadota; Gammaproteobacteria; Oceanospirillales; Halomonadaceae.
CCUACGGGAGGCAGCAGUGGGGAUUAUUGGACAAUGGGGGGAACCCUGAUCCAGCCAUGCCGCGUGUGUGAAGAAGGCCCUCGGGUUGUAAAGCACUUUCAGUGAGGAAGAACGCCUGGUGGUUAAUACCCAUCAGGAAAGACAUCACUCACAGAAGAAGCACCGGCUAACUCCGUGCCAGCAGCCGCGGUAAUACGGAGGGUGCGAGCGUUAAUCGGAAUUACUGGGCGUAAAGCGCGCGUAGGUGGCUUGAUAAGCCGGUUGUGAAAGCCCCGGGCUCAACCUGGGAACGGCAUCCGGAACUGUCAAGCUAGAGUGCAGGAGAGGAAGGUAGAAUUCCCGGUGUAGCGGUGAAAUGCGUAGAGAUCGGGAGGAAUACCAGUGGCGAAGGCGGCCUUCUGGACUGACACUGACACUGAGGUGCGAAAGCGUGGGUAGCAAACAGGAUUAGAUACCCUAGUAGUC